Long non-coding RNA from Brienomyrus brachyistius, 479 nucleotides. RefSeq lists it as uncharacterized. The transcript is spliced from 3 exons. The record is from RefSeq and is a predicted model, not a curated record. NCBI's taxonomy places the organism in Eukaryota, Metazoa, Chordata, Actinopteri, Osteoglossiformes, Mormyridae.
CCCAGAGCUGCAUUCACUCUCUUUAUCUGUGCGGCGUUGUGGAGGAUCGCGUAGGGGCUGGUCAUGUUAAGUUUGUUCAUUAUACGUGGAAUUACUAGUUAAUUAGCUAGGUCAUUUUGAUAGGUAUUUGUAGCUGUUUCGCCAGUGAUUACCAUUUUGCCGUCUUUUGUUAUUGGCGUGUAUUUAUCAAAUGGGAAUAUUAAGUGUUACCGAGCCGGUGUUUUUUUUAUCUGUCGAUGGGGGGUGGCUAGUCCUCUGCCUGCCUAAUGUCCAGAUUCUUAAUCCGUAUUGAAUUCGUUUAAAUCGAAGAGGACGCGCUUCAUGGGCGAAGGCGAUUGAGCACUGGUCUGCAUUUCCGGUCCACAGGCCCCACAUCAGCACUGUAGGUGCUGGGAUCUACGAGCAGUGGGGUACGAGAGGAUUGCAACUUCUGCCACAUGUUAUGAUUCAUAACUAAAAAUAAAAUUACUGUCUUGUGA